GAUGAACGCUGGCGGCGUGCCUAAUACAUGCAAGUCGAGCGAACAGACGAGGAGCUUGCUCCUCUGAUGUUAGCGGCGGACGGGUGAGUAACACGUGGAUAACCUACCUAUAAGACUGGGAUAACUUCGGGAAACCGGAGCUAAUACCGGAUAAUAUAUUGAACCGCAGGGUUCAAUAGUGAAAGACGGUCUUGCUGUCACUUAUAGAUGGAUCCGCGCCGCAUUAGCUAGUUGGUAAGGUAACGGCUUACCAAGGCAACGAUGCGUAGCCGACCUGAGAGGGUGAUCGGCCACACUGGAACUGAGACACGGUCCAGACUCCUAAGGGAGGCAGCAGUAGGGAAUCUUCCGCAAUGGGCGAAAGCCUGACGGAGCAACGCCGCGUGAGUGAUGAAGGUCUUCGGAUCGUAAAACUCUGUUAUUAGGGAAGAACAUAUGUGUAAGUAACUGUGCACGUCUUGACGGUACCUAAUCAGAAAGCCACGGCUAACUACGUG
This 497-nucleotide ribosomal RNA is filed under the name uncultured bacterium. RNAcentral's name for it is "partial 16S ribosomal RNA". It matches the Rfam family "Bacterial small subunit ribosomal RNA", at positions 28 to 507 of the family's 1533-position model. The record is from RNAcentral.